GACGAACGCUGGCGGCGUGCUUAACACAUGCAAGUCGAACGGAAAGGCCCUGCUUUUGUGGGGUGCUCGAGUGGCGAACGGGUGAGUAACACGUGAGUAACCUGCCCUUGACUUUGGGAUAACUUCAGGAAACUGGGGCUAAUACCGGAUAGGAGCUCCUGCUGCAUGGUGGGGGUUGGAAAGUUUCGGCGGUUGGGGAUGGACUCGCGGCUUAUCAGCUUGUUGGUGGGGUAGUGGCUUACCAAGGCUUUGACGGGUAGCCGGCCUGAGAGGGUGACCGGCCACAUUGGGACUGAGAUACGGCCCAGAAUCCUACGGGAGGCAGCAGUGGGGAAUAUUGCACAAUGGGCGGAAGCCUGAUGCAGAAACGCCGCGUGCGGGAUGACGGCCUUCGGGUUGUAAACCGAUUUCGCCUGUGACGAAGCGUGAGUGACGGUAAUGGGUAAAGAAGCACCGGCUAACUACGUG
Molecule: ribosomal RNA, 468 nt
Filed under: uncultured bacterium
Lineage: Bacteria
Description: partial 16S ribosomal RNA
Rfam family: Bacterial small subunit ribosomal RNA
Source: RNAcentral